ACGUAUGCCCCCAAGUGCGCCAUUACUAUGCCCCAUAAUGCGCCACUGGUAUUUAGCCUUGGUGCGCCACUAAUGCUCAAUAUGGUGCGCCACUACUAUGAAUAUUAGUAAUUAUUAUUUUUUGCUUUUCUGGUAUUUGCACAGGUUACAAAAUACGUUACAGCACGGAAUAUAAACAUCACACAAUAGAAUUCAUCAUCUUGGUCUCCAAAUUCUAAAUAGCGAACAAAGUUCAAACAUUAGCCAAGUUUAGCUCUCGAGACAUUAGCAAAGUUCAUCAUAUUAGCCGAGUUUGUCAUCACAUUACAAAGUCGAUAUCGAUCAUCUAAACUACCAUCACAUAGAAGAGAGCUGCGAUCACGAUGAGCAUCAUCGCGAUGAAACUGGUGUUCACCCGGUUCCUCCUCUGCUCCCUCCUCUCUCCUGCUAGAUAGCGCGCGUAUCUAGCUUCCGCCUCCGCCCUAGUGGUGUACCCUUUGUAACUGUUACCGCUGAAACGGUGAACUUGUCUCCGACACUCCUCCCAGCCGUCGUAGACUCCGGGAACCUUACCCUUGUACACGACAUACGACGGCAUCUCUAUGCACUAGACAAACAAAACGUUAGUAGCAAUUCACAGACAAUAUAUAAGCAAUAUAUAAGUAUGCAACAAAAGGAUCGGAAGAGAAAAGCAACACAUUAAUAGCACAGUUCAUGGUCCUACUAAUAAAUAGAAUCAAUUACAUAUAAGUUGAACUGACUGUCCAAACUAAAGAGACAUACAAGUUCAUUAAAGUUUAAUUACAACAUGAGCUAAUCGAUAUUUCAGAACUACAUAGCAUCAAUACUUUCGACUCGACUCAGGGACCGGAGCAUGGACGAAGCUGCCGUCUUUCGUGAUGGUCAUGAAUGUGCGGUCGUUGUCAGCCUGCAUUUGUAGCGUUGUUUCUAUUUCAUUGUUGGACGGUUGAUAUUUGAGGUAGAACUGCCCCGAGGUACGAAGGACAUCUUGAUAGAUGAUUUUUGCAAACUCCGACUGGAUGCGAAAGAGUUCUUGUCUGAUGUCCGCGUCUUGGAUUGCCGACAAGCGUGCGGCCCAAUCUUUGAGAUUAGUUGGUAGCAUAAGUUGAUUAUGGUCCCAUACGAUCGCCCGCAUGUCAUGGAGGGCGUAGUAGGCAUCCUUCUGACUGCCAGGCGGCUGCUUGAUGCAGGGGAACCUCGUUACGCGGGUGAACACGUGCUUGCCGUACCUACAAAUUGGCCUCCUGAAGGUGCCUCCAGAUUUGGCGUAGCCGGGGAGAGCAUCAUCAAGAACUUUCUUCAUAUUUGUGUAGUCUUUCUUCGACUGACGGUCCGAGUCAAAAUACGUGGCCAUGGAAUAUUUCGGGCUUAAGAGGAUGAGUGUGCAAUGUGUGUCACUGCACAAAACAUGGAAUGUUAGAAAAAAAAGAACGAUCGAAAUCUAAGAAAUCAUAUGUUACGGGGCGGUGAGGGGAUGACUUACUCGGAAAAGUAAGGCACGAGGAAGUUAUCCUUAUCUGGGUUCGCCAGAAUGACGCCUUCGAGGUAUGAACUCGCGACUUGCCGGUCCCCAGCGCUGCCCAAGAUCUUGGCACACAUGUAGAAGGGGUCGACUAUCACGAUGUCCGGGGUCUUGUCUCUAAUGAUCCGCAUCUCCAUACUGAGCGAAAAUAGCCGAAUGAAGGUGUAGUGCAGCGGAUGAAGGUUAAACAUAGCGAAGAUGUCAUAAAACCGCAGGACGAUCAUACGCCCGAUGGUGCUAUCGACAAAGCCCUUGCCCUCUGGCACCUUGGCCAUGAAAAUCGGGUAUGCCACAUCAUUCUCGGAGAGACGCCGCUUCUCCAUAGAAAGAACACUGUCAUGCAGACUCCGCAUAGCACCGGUUGCAGCAUUGAGCAGAUUAGUCGGUAGCAUCGGCCUACCCGACACAUGCACCCUCCUCGAGAUAUCCUUAGGUGAAGGUGGCCCGUCCUGAGCACGGAUCAUAGUCGGUGCCGGCUAGGUCGCACCCUUGUUAUUUUUUCUUUUCCGUCCCUUCUGCUUCUUCUGCUGUAAUGGGAUCGAGUUCUGCUCAGAGACCACCUUCUUGAGUGCGUUGGGGCUGAUAAUAUUUCGCACCUCGGCUAUCUGAGACUCGGUGAAGGCGGCAGCUGGAGGCGUCUCCUGAGAACUGAACGCCAGACGACGCCUGUUGCAAUUGGGUUUCUUCGCGGUACCAGCUAGAUCGCGAUCGUCUUUUGCAGGGUUGGGUUCUUGAGAAGGAGGCCCCAAGAAUUCGUCACCGUACCCAUGUUCGUUGAAGUACUUAUCGACGUUGGGAAAUGUACCGUCGUCGUCGUCUGGAUCCUGUGCCAUAUGCAUGUCCGGAUCAGCUGACGGCGGUAGCGUUGCAGCGGUCUUGCCAUGGCUUGGCGCCGGCACGACUGGCGGUGUUGUCUGUGGGGUGGUGUCCCCCGCCCCCAAACGAAUCUGGCUCUUCGGCCAAAGCAUGGACCAGCUUAUGCAGGCGCUAAGGGUCAUCACAUCAUCUUCAUCGGCCCCAAGGGGUCGAUACGGAGGUAACAAGUCAUCGCAGCCCCGCACCACCCGAACCAGUUGAACCCUAUACACGGUGGGUGGCAUCGGAUUACCGUGGAACACGCGGUUACCCGGUUGAAUGAUUCUGGCCUUGGCGACAUCGAUCAACUCGCCGUCCACAAAGUGCAGGAGAGUGCAUGGAACGUUGGGGGCGCCCUGCGAAAACAUGUAGGGCAUCAGGGAUGCCCAGUCAAAGGCAAGGAGAUGAAGUCAUCGGCCGAGGCUUAGUUACCGUGAUGGCGUCGAGCUCGGCUAAUGUCAAGGCACCGCCAACGGCGGGCGUGCAAGUGACGGAGGGGCCGCUUGCUGCCGAGGUGCCGGCCGGCGUAUUCUUCCCACACCCGGGUGCAUUAAGCUCCAAUGCCGGCGCCGACGCCGGAGACACCAAUGCCGCCUCCGCCGGAGACACCAAUGGCGCCGGCGCGUUGUGCGAGUUGCUGCCCAUGAAGCUGGGAAUCGGGGGCGGCCCCUGUUGGCCGCCCGUAAUCCAUGCCUGCAGCCCCUCAAGCAAGGUAGGCAUAAUGGCGGUGAUCGUCGCUCCCAGUUGGUCUCGCACUUGCUCUUCAACUAUCUCCGAAAUCCGCGCCACUUGUGCCUUGAGUUCUUUAACCUCGCGCUCCUGGCUUUCCGAGCUGGUCUUUCUCUCCUUUCGCCUAGCCUUAUAGUAUUCCGACCAUUUCGUGGACAAGCCUUUGCCGGCCACACGACCAGCUGACGACGGCUUACUGAACUUAUCCUUGUGUUUCAUUACGUUCAACGCCCUAUUUAAAGUGGUGUCCCAAGGGGAGCUCUGAGACCCCGCGCUACUUCUUUCAGUGUCCUGCGGAAGGAAUGCGAACCAUUUAGAAAUUUGGCUUCAUUAAUUAGAAUGCAACCAUAUGGAGCUAAUUACGCGGGGGUGUAUUCCUUACCAGAAAGCUCAAGCGCCUUGAUCUUCGGAUCCGUGGUAAGCUCCUUUGUUACCGGGUCCACCUUGUACUGGGCCCUGACAUAGUUCCUGGUCUGCUUGUCACGGUAUUUAUCGAAGAGGGGCAGUAGGCCUUGCUCGGCACGCUCCGCGUCCUCCUUGUCCCAUAUAGGUUCCGCCACUCUGUAACCGCCGGGACCGAGUGUGUGGUGUCCUAAGUUCAAGUCCCGCAUAUCUUUCCCCCACUGACUCGAUUCCGCGGAUGCGUUGCUCUCACACUUGAUCUUGAACUCCAGGUAGUCAGCUUUGCUGAUCGAAGGAUUUGUCUCCUUGAUCUUCUCAUAAGUAUCACCACUUAGAAUCCUUCUCUUCACCGCGGCUCUCCAAGUAGCCAGGGCCGUGCUCAUCUUCGUGAGGGCGGCACUGUUCACUUUAUUCCAUGAGAGGCGUGUGUUUUGCGAAGUCACCGGGGAACUUGUAUCAUUCGUGCAGAUCCGUGAAGACGAGGUUGUGCAAAUUCCCUCGGUCAUGAUGCCUUAGGUUCUCGGUGUUGAUCGAGACGGUGCUCCGGAGAAUUCACCCGAGUUGUCCCGCGUACCCACUGACUAAUUCUUUGGGUGCCGUUGGAUGCCCACUGGAGGACUGAUACGUCCAUUUUGCAUCAUGCAUUUAUAUCGAUAUUUAUUGCAUUAUGGGCUGUUAUUACACGUUAUGUCACAAUACUUAUGCCUAUUCUCUCUUAUUUUACAAGGUUUACAUAAGGAGGGAGAAUGCCGGCAGCUGGAAUUCUGGGCCGGAAAAGGAGCUAAUAUUAGAGACCUAUUCCGCACAACUCCAAAAGUCAUGAAACUCCACGAAAGUUAUUUUUGGAAAUAAUAAAAAAUACUGAGCAGAAGAAAUACGUCAGGGGGGCCACCACCUGCCCACAAGGGUGGGGGGCGCGCCCUACCCCCCAGGGCGCACCCCCUGCCUCGUGGGCCCCCUGUUGGCUCUCCGGUGGCCAUCUUCUGCUAUAUGAAGUCUUUCGUCCAGGGAAAAAUCAUAAGCAACCUUUCGGGACGAGACUCCGCCGCCACGAGGCGGAACCUUGGCGGAACCAAUCUAGGGCUCCGGCAGAGCUGUCCUGCCGGGGACACUUCCCUCCGGGAGGGGGAAACCAUCGCCAUCGUCAUCACCAACGCUCCUCUCAUCGAGAGAGGGCAAUCUCCAUCAACAUCUUCACCAGCACCAUCUCCUCUCAAAACCCUAGUUCAUCUCUUGUAUCCAAUUCUUGUCUCAUAGUCUGGGAUUGGUACUAGUAGGUUGCUAGUAGUGUUGAUUACUCCUUGUAGUUGAUGCUAGUUGGUUUAUUUGGUGGAAGAUCAUAUGUUCAGAUCAUAUAUGCAUAUUAAUAUCCCUCUGAUUAUGAACAUGAAUAUGCUUUGUGAGUAGUUACGUUUGUUCCUGAGGACAUGGGAGAAGUCUUGCUAUUAGUAGUCAUGUGAAUUUGGUAUUCGUUCGAUAUUUUGAUAAGAUGUAUGUUGUCUAUCCUCUAGUGGUGUUAUGUGAACGUCGACUACAUAACACUUCACCAUUAUUUGGGCCUAGGGGAAGGCAUUGGGAAGUAAUAAGUAGAUGAUGGGUUGCUAGAGUGACAAAAGCUUAAACCCUAGUUUAUGCGUUGCUUCGUAAGGGGCUGAUUUGGAUCCAUAUGUUACAUGCUAUGGUUAGGUUUACCUUAAUACUUUUGUUAUAGUUGCGGAUGCUUGCAAUAGAGGUUAAUCAUAAGUGGGUGCUUGUUCAAGUAAGAACAGCACCCAAGCUCCGGUCCACCCACAUAUCAAAUUAUCAAAGUACCGAACGCGAAUCAUAUGAACGUGAUGAAAACUAGCUUCACGAUAAUCCCCAUGUGUCCUCGGGAGCGCUUUUCUCUAUAUAAGAGUUUAUCCAGGCUUGUCCUUUGCUACAAAAAGGAUUGGGCCACCUUGCUGCACUUUAUUUACAUUUGUUACUUGUUGCUCGUUACAAAUUAUCCUAUCACAAAACUAUCUGUUACCACUUAUUUCAGUACUUGCAGAGAAUACCUUGCUGAAAACCGCUUAUCAUUUCCUUCUGCUCCUCGUUGGGUUAGACACUCUUACUUAUCAAAAGGACUACGAUAGAUCCCCUAUACUUGUGGGUCAUCAAGGACACUUCAAUAAAUUCCUCCUUGACGGUGCCGAGCACGUUCGGGCGCCGGUCCUUCCGUUGCCUCUUCGGUUGGCUGCCAUCUGUGCGUGCGCUGCCAUCAUCAGUGGUGGCAUCCCCGGCGGCACCAUCAGUGGUGUAAUCCCCGAUGCCACUAGGGGUUGUGUAGUCGGGAUCAGUGUCUUCCGCGGCGUCCUCAUAGCGGUGAGGUUCUUCCUCCAUCUCCUGGGACAACUCCCAGAAUGGCUUGCCUGAACCGCCGGCCUCAUCAUUGUCGGCCAUGUUCGCUCUAAAUAGGAAAAAUGGCUACUAGAGUUAUUGGAUGAGAUCAGGGUAGUAUCUAUUCUUCUCAGAUUUAGAGGAAUAUUUCCGUUUCGGUUGAGAAUCGGGCACCUUCUAGGUCAAGAAAAUUGGGCAUGACCUUUGCUAAUUUUCUUGACCUAGGAGUGCCCCAUUCUCAACCGAAACGGAAAUUAAUCAACAUUCACAUCAGAAGCUGCCAGCAUUGGAAUUAGAAGCUGCCAACAUUGGAACAUCAGAAGCUGCCAGCAUUGGAAUCAUUUCAUAAGAUAAUUUUAUCAAGCAUCCACAUCCACUCGAAUCAAUAGAGCAAACGGAUCAUUUGAUCUAGCUCAUGCCAGGCAAUCAACCAAACCAAAUAUGUACGGGAAAGGCUCAUCAUGUUCACCCACCUCUAUAACAUUUAGGCCUAUCUUCCAUAGUAUGCUGCCUCACUGCCACUAUUUUUAAAUUAAUAGAUACCUUAGAAACCAGAAACGAAAAAGAGAGGGAGGAGCACAAGCAAGGCUCACCGUUCCAGUUGCAGUUCGAUCGGACGAACUCGCUGCUGGUGUGAUAAUCGUUGGGCGGGCGGUUGCUGGUCGGUGUCCCUUUCUGCUCCUACGAACCUGCGUGAGGGAGGAAACAUCAUCAGCAGAAGGGGAGAAGAGCAGUACUACCGUCAUUAAUAAGUGGAACAUAGCAGAGAAAUACAAAAUAUGUCAUGACCAAACUGCAGUAACAACCAACAGUCAUAUUCAACAUUUAAUUAAAGUAUAAGAAAUUAUAUGACACCAGUAAUGAAACAAUACUACGCAUGAUUGAUCUAUGUGAUCUGGGUUACAGUAUCAGCAACCUUGCAUUUCAUUUUAUAAAAAACUGUACUCCAUCACCAAAUUCAUUGAUGUUUCUAAGCAAAAUUCACAAGUUCAGAGGAUCACAAGUUUAGAAGAUCUACAGUAGCAGCAGCAUCACAAGUUGACAAAAUUCAGUGAACUUAAAAGUUAGAACUAGAGCAGCAUCACAACCCUAAUUCCCUUGUUGGGUUUCAUAUUGGGAUCUUGCCACUGCCCAAAAAAUAGGUGCAGUAGGCAGGAUUACAUACAUAAAACAGAGCACUAAGCAGCAAGCAGCAAGCAGCAAAAGGGCACUGAUUUAGUACCAUUGACAGUUCACAGCAGCAAAAUAAAUCCAUUCAUCCAUCUAUUCAAUAUGCAACAGCAACAUCCACCCAGCCGGCUAACAAACAGAGGGGUGGGGAACAGGGAGAGAUUCAGAAUAUCAUUGUUGCUGCAAAAAUCGGCAUUCUAUGAACACGGGAGCGGGCGUGGCCCAGCGUGCGUCGGCGGCGCUGCACGCGCAGGUGGGUGUGGGCAGGGACGGCGGCAACAACAGCAGGCAACGAGCAAAGCAGCAUCAGCGCUAGCAGCGGCGGCGCAGAAGCAGAGCGUCAGCGAGCAGCGGUGGCAAGCAAGGCAGGCGCAGAGGAGCAGGCAACCGUGAGCGGCUACAGGCGCGCGCACGGAUGACGCGGGUGAGCGGCGGGAUGCACGCGGACAGCGCGAUGGCGGCAAGGACCGGCCAGGCGAGGCGAGGCAGUACACGCCCGGGAGAAUCGAGCUCCCUGCCAUGGCGGCCGAGCGCCGGGUCGGCUAAACGGCGACGGAUCGAGGCGGAGGAAUGGGGAACGGGGAGGAGUUCACCGCGGUUCCGGGGACGAGCUCGAGGAGGCCGGGGGUGCAGUGAAGACGACGAAUCCGUCGAUGGCGUCGCGGUGGCCGGAGGUAGAUGACGAGGUGGUCGAUGGCGACGUUGCGGCGGCUCCUCAGCCUUGGCCCAGGGACGAUGACGAUGAAGAGGAACACUGGGCGGCGGCGCAGUGGGUCUGGGCGGCGGCGCAGGUAGGGGCGGUGGCGCAGUGGGUCGGGG
This 7858-nucleotide long non-coding RNA is filed under the name Triticum aestivum (bread wheat). RNAcentral's name for it is "long non-coding RNA (TAES_LNC024756)". The record is from RNAcentral. Lineage: Eukaryota; Viridiplantae; Streptophyta; Magnoliopsida; Poales; Poaceae.